CCUGAAUUAGGCUAUGUACUCCAUGUGAUAUUAAGUAAACUGCAAGAGGAUACUUUGGAGUUUCACAGCUGAGCACGUGAGAAAUCAGACACAGAAAAACAGUUGUGAUUCAUCCAGGGAUUUGUGAGGAGGAAAGUGAUGAGGGCUCUCUUUCCCAGAAUCUGCAAUCUGGUAUUUUUCCAGAAAAAAAUCGAAUGCCUCGCAUAGGACCACGGACGGACUGAGUCAUUGUGCUGGAUGGAUGGGUGGAGACAGGCUGAAAGACCAUGUGCCUGUCUGAUAUACGGACUCAGGGGUAUUCUUAUUUCAGGCUGGUGGGUCGAACGCAUGGAGGCAGAUGCAGAUUAAUUUGAAGAAAAGAAGACAAGCCAUUCCUUGCAUGCCUG
Molecule: long non-coding RNA, 386 nt
Filed under: Mustela putorius furo (domestic ferret)
Lineage: Eukaryota; Metazoa; Chordata; Mammalia; Carnivora; Mustelidae
Description: lncRNA (ENSMPUG00000028416.1)
Source: RNAcentral